Molecule: ribosomal RNA, 405 nt
Filed under: uncultured bacterium
Lineage: Bacteria
Description: partial 16S ribosomal RNA
Rfam family: Bacterial small subunit ribosomal RNA
Source: RNAcentral
AUUGAACGCUGGCGGCAGGCUUAACACAUGCAAGUCGAACGAGUGGCGGACGGGUGAGUAAUGAUUGGGAAUCUAGCUGAUGGAGGGGGAUAACUACGGGAAACGGGAGCUAAUACCGCGUACCAUAGGAUGAGCACAAGUGGGAUUAGGUAGUUGGUGGGGUAAAGGCUCACCAAGGCGACGAUCUCUAGCUGGUCUGAGAGGAUGACCAGCCACACUGGGACUGAGCCACGGCCCAGCCUCCUACGGGAGGACGCAGUGGGGAAUAUUUCGCAAUGGGGGCAACCUGACGCAGCCAUGCCGCGUGAAUGAAGAAGGCCUUCGGGUUGUAAAGUUCUUUCGGUGGCGAGGCGUUACCCUCAUAAGAAGCACCGGCUAACUCCGUGCCAGCAGCCGCGGUAAUUC